UCAGUUUGUUAUGUAUUUAUUCUGUUUUACAAGCAUCAUUCGUACCAACAUUCAUCGAUUUUCAAUACUAAGUUUGUCCGUUUUUUUCAAAAACAUUUUUUUUUUUUUUUUUUACAAAGACAUAAAUAUAUGAUAGAAUACAAUACAGUAUAAACUGUAUAAAAUACAAAAUAAAAUGGAUAUACUUAUUUAAAAUGAUAAUCACAAAAGAGACGAAACCAGAAAAUGGGAUCUUUUGACAACGAGGCAAAAAACACCAGCAUGAACUUAAAACAGCUGAACACCAAUGAUAUUAUUGUUGUCCGUCUCAAAACCGUUCCCCCUCUGUCGUACACUAGUUUACAGUACACUAGUUUAUAGUGCACUAGUUUAUAGUGCACUAGUUUACAGUACACUAGUUUAUAGUGCACUAGUUUACAGUACACUAUUUUAUAGUGCACUACAAGGGGAAAAAAAACGACAUCAUCGGAGACGCAGCUAAUGGCUAUGUCAGAAAUGGGCGUCGCCGGAGACGCAGCCAAUGGCUAUGUCAGAAAUGGGCGUCGCCAGAGACGCAGCCAAUGGCUAUGUCAGAAAUGGGCGUCGCCGGAGACGCAGCCAAUGGCUACUUCAGAAACUACAUCACCGGAGACGCAGCCAAUGGCUACAUCAGAAACUACAUCACCGGAGACGCAGCCAAUGGCUACAUCAGAAACUACAUCACCGGAGACGCAGCCAAUGGCUGUGUCAGAAACGGCACCCUAUUCCCUAUAUAGUGAACUCCUUUUGACCAGAGCCCUACAGGGCCCUUCGUAGGGAAUAGGAUGGCAUUUUGAACGUAGACAUUAUGUAUAUUAGGUAAGUACGUACGCAGGUCGCUUUUGGGUCCAAAUUUUGUUGUUUUUUUGGGGGGGCCUGAACAACCAAACUACGGAAAGCUGGAAGGCACAUAUCUGAGGAAGCAUGAGACCUUCAGAUGAAGGGAAGUGUCCCCAACAGCACCCUAAUUCCCUUACGGUGCACUACCGUUUGACCAGAGCCCUUUUGACCACUAUAUAUUUAGUGCACUAGCGCACGAGUGACCUUUUCCAACACCAAAUAGGGAAUGGGGUGCCAUUUUGGAACGUAACCCGGGCAACAGGAAGAAGAGAGACAGUAGAGGGAGGGUGAGGCAGUGAAACAGGAAGAAGGAGAGAGACAGUAGAGGGAGGGUAAGGCAGUGAAACAGGAAGGAGAGAGACAGUAGAGGGAGGGUAAGGCAGUGAAACAGGAAGAAGGGAGACAGUAGAGGGAGGGUUCGAGGCAGUGAAACAGGAAGUGUUAAGGCCAACUGAUCAUCUAAAAACAGGAUGCCCAAACUGUUAUAAGACAUACAACCUGACCAAUAAAAACAGAGUAUUCAAUAUCAACAUGACCAAUCGGUAAUCUUCUGUUGUCAUAUUCCAGCCCACUAAUAUAGAUAUCUGUCACCAAGGUUAGAGAAUUAUAUUAAAACAAGGCAUGUUAUUGACCCCAAGGUUAGAGAAUUAUAUUAAAACAAGGCUUGUUAUUGACCCCAAGGUUAGAGAGAAUUAUAUUAAAACAAGGCUUGUUAUUGACCCCAAGGUUAGAGAGAAUUAUAUUAAAACAAGGCUUGUUAUUGACCCCAAGGAUAGAGAAUUACAUUAAAACAAGGCUUGUUAUUGACCCCAAGGUUAGAGAAUUACAUUAAAACAAGGCUUGUUAUUGACCCCAAGGUUAGAGAAUUAUAUUAAAACAAGGCUUGUUAUUGACCCCAAGGUUAGAGAAUUAUAUUAAAACAAGGCUUGUUAUUGACCAAGGUUAGAGAGAAUGACAUUAAAACAAGGCUUGUUGUCAUCCUUCAUCUUCCUCCAUUAGACAUUGUAGUUAUUAUUAUUAUUAUUAUUAUAAACACAAUAUAUACAUGUAUGUUACAGGAAUAUACAGGGUGUUAAUGCUCCUCAUGUCUCAAUAUAAAUCAGUAUGUUCAAGCAUUCAGGGAGUCGGCGGCUUUGGCUUGCGGAGGGGUUUCAUUACCUAAAACAGGGUGAAAAGUCAAAAAACAGGAACAGGAAAUACAUCACCAUAGAACUAAAGGCCGAUAAAAGACAGAAGAAGAGGUCAAAAAGAAGGUUGACAGUCCAGUGGGCCCAUUGUCACUAGGAUGUACGACUAGGGAGAGGGACCAUAGACUUAGACAGACCUCUAUGGUGCAGCACAUGCUGUCACACAAGACAUUGUCGCACAGGUGCAAAGCAGAGCCCUCUAGCUAGCUCUAUGGGAGAAACAGGCCAGGCUAGGAGAGGCCAGCUCCUCUUAGCUCUAUGGGAGAAACAGGCCAGGCCAGGACAGGAGAGGCCAGCUCCUCUUAGCUCUAUGGGAGAAACAGGCCAGGCCAGGAGAGGCCAGCUCCUCUUAGCUCUAUGGGAGAAACAGGCCAGUUCCUCUUAGCUCUAUGGGAGAAACAGGCCAGGCCAGGACAGGACAGGCCAGGACAGGACAGGCCAGCUCCUCUUAGCUCUAUGGGAGAAACAGGCCAGGCCAGGACAGGCCAGGCCAGCUCCUCUUAGCUCUAUGGGAGAAACAGGCCAGGCCAGGAGAGGCCAGCUCCUCUUAGCUCUAUGGGAGAAACAGGCCAGUUCCUCUUAGCUCUUUGGGAGAAACUGGCCAGGCCAGGACAGGAUAGGGCCAGCUCCUCUUAGCUCUAUGGGAGAAACAGGCCGGGACAGGAGAGCUCCUCUUAGCUCAGAGCCGCCCCACUACAUACUAAAUGGCAGGACUCUGCUCUAUCUAUCUAUCUAUCUAUCUAUCUAUCUAUCUAUCUAUCUAUCUAUCUAUCUAUCUAUCUAUCUAUCAAUCAAUCAAUCAAUUGUUGAUACAUCUCAUCUUCUCCUCCUCCUCUUGAUUGGGGGAGUAACUCAAGAGUCAUUUAGCUUUCACACCCUCUUCCUCUUCCUGGGACACAUCCUGUUUCCAUCCCUCCUCCAUCUCCCUGUCCCUUCCUCUCCCUCAGCCUGCGUUCAUUCCAUCCUCCACCCUCUUCCUCUUCCUCUUCCUGGGACACAUCCUGUUUCCCUCCCUCCAUCAGCCUGCGUUCAUUCCAUCCUCCUCUUCCUCUUCCUGGGACACAUCCUGUUUCCCUCCCUCCCUCAGCCUGCGUUCAUUCCAUCCUCCACCCUCUUCCUCUUCCUGGGACACAUCCUGUUUCCCUCCCUCCCUCAGCCUGCAUUCAUUCCAUCCUCCACCCAUCCCAUCCCGUCACUCGCUGUCUGUCUCCAGGUCUGAAUCGGACCACUGUACCGGGGUCAGUUUUCCGCGUCGCUGUGCGUACUCGAUGACGGCCGUGUAGCAGAAGUAAUACUGAUCCCAGGUCUGUAUACUGAAGGCUCUCUGGGUCCUCAUCCUCCUCACUGUCUCACACACAUCCACCGUCCCAAUGUCCUCCAGCCUGGACAGACAGAUGUCCAGGGUACAGAACGUACCUGAGGAGGGAAAUGAGAGAGAGAGGGGUUAGUGGAGGGAGAGAGGAGAGAAACGAAAGAGAGAAAGAGGGGUUAGAGAAGGAAAAGAGGAGAAGGAAAAGAGGAGGAGAAGAGAGGAGGAGAAGGAAAAGAGGAGGAGAAGAGAGGAGAAGGAGAAGGAGAAGAGAGGAGAAGAGAGACAGAGAGAGACAGAGAGAGAGAGGGAAUACUUCCAUCCAUCUAUCAACGACCCACCUGUGCGUCCGAUGCCUGCGCUGCAGUGUACGACCAGCGGUGGCCCACCUGGGGGCCCCACCCACUCAGCUCCCAGACUCCUCAGCGCCGCCUCCUGCCGCUGCUGCACGUGCUCACGGAAAUCCAACAUGGCCAACGCACACUUGGGCACACCGAAGUCUGGCCAGCUGACAUACAGGUAGUGGGAGACAUCCCUCCUCUCA
Oncorhynchus tshawytscha (Chinook salmon) is the source of this 3898-nucleotide long non-coding RNA. Lineage: Eukaryota; Metazoa; Chordata; Actinopteri; Salmoniformes; Salmonidae. The record is from Ensembl.